GUUAUGCAAAACAAUGCAAAACUCGGCAGAUUGGAUUCCAUUUCUUUGUACUCUUUAACCUUUCUCUCAACAAAUGUCCAGUCACAAUGCAGCAGUAAUAAUAGACGAAAAAACUGCAGCACGUUCUGUCAUCCAACACCGAAUAGCUUCACGUGUGGGUACCCUGACGGAGAGCAUUUGCUUCCGGAUGGAAAAACGUGCCCUAGUGCUAUAACAACAACCUCAUCAAGUUCUUAAAUGACAACUUUCACGACUUCCAAUACGACAUCUCCUGGAAUCCAAUCAAAUAAAAGCAACGACGAUAAAGCUUCUUCCUCCAAAAUCAUGUACAUUGGAGCAGGAGCUGGUGGAACGUUAGCUAUGGUCAUUAUUGUCGUCGUAUUAAUAAAGUAUGUUUACCGUAUAUUGAAAUGGUAUCGUAAACCAGUUCAUAGUAUGUGUUUGUCUUGUUAGCCAGAAAAACGCAAUUGCGAUUUCAAUGGUUGAAAACGAACAUAUCAACGAAACG
Molecule: long non-coding RNA, 508 nt
Organism: Dreissena polymorpha
Lineage: Eukaryota; Metazoa; Mollusca; Bivalvia; Myida; Dreissenidae
Exons: 3
Source: RefSeq, a predicted model, not a curated record